Molecule: non-coding RNA, 715 nt
Organism: Anolis sagrei ordinatus
Lineage: Eukaryota; Metazoa; Chordata; Lepidosauria; Squamata; Anolidae
Source: RefSeq, a predicted model, not a curated record
AGCUCAUGGAGAAAGUCACUCCAAAGAGAGAGCCUCCCGCAAUGGAUGACCUUGAUGAUGACAUCUGAAAAGACACAAGUCCCAAAGAUACAACAACAGCACAAGAUGAAGAGAAAGGAUGCAAUGGAGAAAGUGUCAAGUUAAUGCAACCUCAGGAUAUUCAGACGUCACUGCUUUUGUCCAAGAUGCAACGCAAGGAUUGCUAGUGCGAACCUUACAUGGCAACUCUCUUCCCUGAGAUUCUUAUGUUGGGUGGCAAUGUAGUGGGCACACUCUUGACUUAAAGUAGGGGUAAAUAUCAAGGCGGAUAAUCCAUAGUAUGUGCUUUGAACUGGAUUAUCUGAGUCCGCAUUGCCCUAUAACCCAGUUCAAUGUAGAUUUUAUACAGCUGUGUGGAAUGGGCCUUAGGUAUAACCCUCCACAUUUAACUCAACUGCUAUUCUCAGGAUUUUUCAUUGCUGGCUAUGAUGUCCAUGCCUGCUGCGAACUACAGUUCAGCAACAUCUGAUAAGAUGCGUUUUACCCACUCCAGCCUACAACACAACACUGCCUCUUUCUUUUCUCAUUUUGCUUUCUACCUAAACUUCUCUAACCUAUUUCCUUCUCCCUCCCUUUUCCAUUCCCUUGUUUCAUUCUGUAGGGCUACCUGAGCCCCAGGAAUGAUGUACGUAAUAGAAUUUAAACUUCUGCCAAUAAAUAAUGACAAUACCUCUGA